CUCGUGAAAUGGCCUGAAACCCAAUGAAAUCAAUAUUUCGUCUGACUUUUAAUCAGAGGGUCCUCGGUUCGAGCCCGAGGGGGCGUACCA
This 90-nucleotide transfer RNA is filed under the name Brevundimonas bullata. RNAcentral describes it as "tRNA-Lys". The record is from RNAcentral. RNAcentral also lists the same sequence under 1 other name. Lineage: Bacteria; Pseudomonadati; Pseudomonadota; Alphaproteobacteria; Caulobacterales; Caulobacteraceae.